GGCUCUGUGGUCUAAAGGUUAGGACUCGUUCCUUUCAAGAACGAAAUGCUGUGUUCAAGUCACGCCAGAGUCA
Molecule: transfer RNA, 73 nt
Filed under: Bacteriophage sp.
Also listed under: 1 other name
Description: tRNA-Glu
Rfam family: tRNA
About the family: Transfer RNA (tRNA) molecules are approximately 80 nucleotides in length. Their secondary structure includes four short double-helical elements and three loops (D, anti-codon, and T loops).
Source: RNAcentral